This 248-nucleotide ribosomal RNA is filed under the name uncultured Actinomycetales bacterium. RNAcentral's name for it is "partial 16S ribosomal RNA". It matches the Rfam family "Bacterial small subunit ribosomal RNA", at positions 82 to 334 of the family's 1533-position model. Lineage: Bacteria; Bacillati; Actinomycetota; Actinomycetes; Actinomycetales. The record is from RNAcentral.
CUUGGGUGCUCGAGUGGCGAACGGGUGAGUAACACGUGGGUGAUCUGCCCUGCACUUCGGGAUAAGCCUGGGAAACUGGGUCUAAUACCGGAUAGGACCAUCGUUUAGUGUCGGUGGUGGAAAGUUUUUCGGUGUGGGAUGAGCUCGCGGCCUAUCAGCUUGUUGGUGGGGUAAUGGCCUACCAAGGCGUCGACGGGUAGCCGGCCUGAGAGGGUGUACGGCCACAUUGGGACUGAGAUACGGCCCAG